Molecule: ribosomal RNA, 144 nt
Filed under: uncultured eukaryote
Lineage: Eukaryota
Description: partial 18S ribosomal RNA
Rfam family: Eukaryotic small subunit ribosomal RNA
Source: RNAcentral
UGGUGGAGUGAUUUGUCUGGUUAAUUCCGUUAACGAACGAGACCUCAACCUGCUAAAUAGUUUGGCUUCACCCUUGUGGUGAGGUGCAAUUACUUCUUAGAGGGACUAUCGGUGCGUAGCCGGUGGAAGUUUGAGGCAAUAACG